GAGUCUAACAUGUGCGCGAGUCAUUGGGACACGCAAGCCUAAAGGCGAAAUGAAAGUAAAGGUCAGCCUAGCGCCGACCGAGGGAGGAUGGGCCGCGUCACGAUGCGGUCCCGCACUCCCGGGGCGUCUCGUUCUCAUUACGAGAAGAGGCGCACCCAGAGCGUACACGUUGGGACCCGAAAGAUGGUGAACUAUGCCUGGUCAGGACGAAGUCAGGGGAAACCCUGAUGGAGGUCCGUAGCGAUUCUGACGUGCAAAUCGAUCGUCGGAACUGGGUAUAGGGGCGAAAGACUAAUCGAACCAUCUAGUAGCUGGUUCCCUCCGAAGUUUCCCUCAGGAUAGCUGGCACUCGUGUACAAAAGUUACACGAGUCUCAUCCGGUAAAGCGAAUGAUUAGAGGCCUUGGGGCCGAAACGACCUCAACCUAUUCUCAAACUUUAAAUGGGUGAGAUCUCUGGCUUGCUUGAACUAUGAAGCCACGAGAUUUCGGAU
RNAcentral lists this ribosomal RNA (492 nucleotides) under Aneugmenus kiotonis. Its description in RNAcentral is "eukaryotic LSU rRNA". It matches the Rfam family "Eukaryotic large subunit ribosomal RNA", at positions 671 to 1113 of the family's 3401-position model. The record is from RNAcentral. Lineage: Eukaryota; Metazoa; Arthropoda; Insecta; Hymenoptera; Tenthredinidae.